Molecule: ribosomal RNA, 253 nt
Filed under: uncultured bacterium
Lineage: Bacteria
Description: partial 16S ribosomal RNA
Rfam family: Archaeal small subunit ribosomal RNA
Source: RNAcentral
UACCAGCACCCCGAGUGGUCGGGACGAUUAUUGGGCCUAAAGCAUCCGUAGCCGGUUUUACAAGUCCUCCGUUAAAUCCAACUGCUUAACAGAUGGGCCGCGGAGGAUACUAUAAGACUAGGAGGCAGGAGAGGCAAGCGGUACUCAGUGGGUAGGGGUAAAAUCCUCUGAUCCAUUGAAGACCACCAGUGGCGAAGGCGGCUUGCCAAUACGCGCUCGACGGUGAGGGAUGAAAGCUGGGGGAGCAAACCGG